RNAcentral lists this ribosomal RNA (160 nucleotides) under uncultured bacterium. RNAcentral describes it as "partial 16S ribosomal RNA". It matches the Rfam family "Bacterial small subunit ribosomal RNA", at positions 355 to 529 of the family's 1533-position model. The record is from RNAcentral.
UGGGGGAUAUUGCACAAUGGGGGGAACCCUGAUGCAGCGACGCCGCGUGGGUGAAGAAGCGCCUCGGCGCGUAAAGCCCUGUCAGCAGGGAAGAAAAUGACGGUACCUGAAGAAGAAGCCCCGGCUAACUACGUGCCAGCAGCCGNGGUAAUAGCUCUCU